This 253-nucleotide ribosomal RNA is filed under the name uncultured bacterium. RNAcentral describes it as "partial 16S ribosomal RNA". It matches the Rfam family "Bacterial small subunit ribosomal RNA", at positions 524 to 776 of the family's 1533-position model. The record is from RNAcentral.
UACGUAGGGUGCAGGCGUUAUUCGGAAUUACUGGGCGUAAAGCGUGUGCAGGCGGUUUGCUAAGUCAGGUGUGAAAUCCCCGGGCUUAACCUGGGAACUGCGCUUGUUACUGGCAGGCUUGAGUGUGGCAGAGGGGGGUGGAAUUCCACGUGUAGCGGUGAAAUGCGUAGAGAUGUGGAGGAACACCGAUGGCGAAGGCAGCCCCCUGGGCUAACACUGACGCUCAUGCACGAAAGCGUGGGGAGCAAACAGG